RNAcentral lists this ribosomal RNA (296 nucleotides) under Pseudidiomarina aestuarii. RNAcentral describes it as "Idiomarina aestuarii partial 23S ribosomal RNA". It matches the Rfam family "Bacterial large subunit ribosomal RNA", at positions 2611 to 2925 of the family's 2925-position model. The record is from RNAcentral. Lineage: Bacteria; Pseudomonadati; Pseudomonadota; Gammaproteobacteria; Alteromonadales; Idiomarinaceae.
UUAGAACGUCGCGAGACAGUUUGGUCCCUAUCUGCCGUGGGCGUCGAUUGUUGAAAGGAGUUGCCCCUAGUACGAGAGGACCGGGGUGAACGUACCUCUGGUGUACCUGUCAUCCUGCCAAGGGUGCCGCAGGGUAGCUAUGUACGGACGGGAUAACCGCUGAAAGCAUCUAAGCGGGAAGCCUCCCUUGAGAUAAGCAAUCUUCGAACCGUCAUAGACCAUGACGUUGAUAGGCCGGGUGUGGAAGCGCAGUAAUGUGUGGAGCUAACCGGUCCUAAUAGUUCUUUUCGCGCUUG